GGUCUGCAGCAGCAUGAAAUGCAGUGUGAUAUGCUGUAAAUGGUCGAUUCAAAAACCCUCCACGCCUAUGAAUAUAAUCUGCUGUUGGUAGGUUGUAUAAUUCUUCAUCACUAACACCCAUCAUCACAUUCUCAGCAUUGGCACUGUUGGUUUCAUCUGAAGACCACAUCUUUGACUUCUCCACAAACUCAAUAACCUUUUUCCACAGAAUAAAAGUUUAAACAUCACUGGACAAAUACAGCAUAUACGAUUCCAAAUAAAAACAUAGGUAAGAUAACUACUUUUGCAGAAAAAUCAUCAACAAGAGGUGUCUUAUUCUUGUGUGCAACUAUAAGCCCAGCAUAGCAGAACUUGUUCAAUCCCAGACCAGCAGCUAUCAUAUCACGGACAAUUGUAUACACUCGGUCUAUGCGUCCAUCGGCAGCACAAGCAUUUAGCAAGCAGAUGUAGGUUUGUACAUUAGGCUUUACUUCCAUGCGUUUCAUUUCCU
Molecule: small RNA, 490 nt
Filed under: Vigna angularis var. angularis
Lineage: Eukaryota; Viridiplantae; Streptophyta; Magnoliopsida; Fabales; Fabaceae
Description: Non-protein coding transcript
Source: RNAcentral